Molecule: ribosomal RNA, 305 nt
Filed under: uncultured bacterium
Lineage: Bacteria
Description: partial 16S ribosomal RNA
Rfam family: Bacterial small subunit ribosomal RNA
Source: RNAcentral
ACAGCAGCAGCCGCGGUAAUACGAAGGGUGCAAGCGUUAAUCGGAAUUACUGGGCGUAAAGCGUGCGUAGGCGGUGAGUUAAGUCUGCUGUGAAAUCCCCGGGCUCAACCUGGGAAUGGCAGUGGAUACUGGCUCGCUAGAGUGUGUCAGAGGAUGGUGGAAUUCCCGGUGUAGCGGUGAAAUGCGUAAAGAUCGGGAGGAACAUCAGUGGCGAAGGCGGCCAUCUGGGACAACACUGACGCUGAGGCACGAAAGCGUGGGGAGCAAACAGGAUUAGAUACCCCCGUAGUCCCUGUCUCUUAUAC